RNAcentral lists this small nucleolar RNA (188 nucleotides) under Mustela putorius furo (domestic ferret). RNAcentral's name for it is "Small nucleolar RNA U3 (ENSMPUG00000023151.1)". It matches the Rfam family "Small nucleolar RNA U3", at positions 1 to 197 of the family's 219-position model. From Rfam's summary of the family: Small nucleolar RNAs (snoRNAs) are involved in the processing and modification of rRNA in the nucleolus. There are two main classes of snoRNAs: the box C/D class, and the box H/ACA class. U3 snoRNA is a member of the box C/D class. Lineage: Eukaryota; Metazoa; Chordata; Mammalia; Carnivora; Mustelidae. The record is from RNAcentral.
AACACUCUACUUCCAGGGACCAUUUCUAUAGUUUGUUACUAGAAAAGUUUCUCUGAAUGUGUGGAGUACUAAAUACCCUGAGGAAGGGUGUAGUAUUCUCUCCUGAGCAAAAAGCCAGCUCUGGCUGUUGGUUCUGCAGCUGCCUUUUGCCACUGUUGACUGUUCUUAUUCUUUGGGAGAGCAAGAGG